CAAUGUCGGUGCCUGCGGUGGCGGAAAGACGGAGUAGUCAAUCUUUUGUCUGAGUUAUUUGGUUGAAAUGGUGCGUAGGCGUACUAUUAAGUCAGUAGUGGAAUCUUGCAGCUUAACUGUGAAAACUGCUAUUGAUACUGAUGGGCUGGAGUGAGGUUGUAGUAGCUGGAAUGUGUGGUGUAGCGGUGAAAUGCAUAGAUAUCACACAGAACACCGAUCGCGAAGGCAAGUUACUAAGCCUAUACUGACGCUGAGGCACGAAAGCGUGGGGAGCAAAUAGGAUUAGAUACCCGUGUAGUC
This 300-nucleotide ribosomal RNA is filed under the name uncultured archaeon. Its description in RNAcentral is "bacterial SSU rRNA". It matches the Rfam family "Bacterial small subunit ribosomal RNA", at positions 497 to 795 of the family's 1533-position model. The record is from RNAcentral.